GGGUUGUGAGGUUAAGCGACUAAGCGUACACGGUGGAUGCCUAGGCAGUCAGAGGCGAUGAAGGGCGUGCUAAUCUGCGAAAAGCGUCGGUAAGCUGAUAUGAAGCGUAAUAACCGACGAUACCCGAAUGGGGAAACCCAGUGCAAUUCGUUGCACUAUUGCAUGGUGAAUACAUAGCCAUGCAAGGCGAACCGGGGGAACUGAAACAUCUAAGUACCCCGAGGAAAAGAAAUCAACCGAGAUUCCCCCAGUAGCGGCGAGCGAACGGGGAAGAGCCCAGAGUCUGAAUCAGUUGGUGUGUUAGUGGAAGCGUCUGGAAAGUCGCACGGUACAGGGUGAUAGUCCCGUACACAAAAACACACUGGCUGUGAACUCGAUGAGUAGGGCGGGACACGUGACAUCCUGUCUGAAUAUGGGGGGACCAUCCUCCAAGGCUAAAUACUCCUGACUGACCGAUAGUGAACCAGUACCGUGAGGGAAAGGCGAAAAGAACCCCGGCGAGGGGAGUGAAAUAGAACCUGAAACCGUGUACGUACAAGCAGUGGGAGCACCUUCGUGGUGUGACUGCGUACCUUUUGUAUAAUGGGUCAGCGACUUAUAUUUUGUAGCAAGGUUAACCGAAUAGGGGAGCCGUAGGGAAACCGAGUCUUAACUGGGCGUCUAGUUGCAAGGUAUAGACCCGAAACCCGGUGAUCUAGCCAUGGGCAGGUUGAAGGUUGGGUAACACUAACUGGAGGACCGAACCGACUAAUGUUGAAAAAUUAGCGGAUGACUUGUGGCUGGGGGUGAAAGGCCAAUCAAACCGGGAGAUAGCUGGUUCUCCCCGAAAGCUAUUUAGGUAGCGCCUCGUGAACUCAUCUUCGGGGGUAGAGCACUGUUUCGGCUAGGGGUCCAUCCCGGAUUACCAAACCGAUGCAAACUCCGAAUACCGAAGAAUGUUAUCACGGGAGACACACGGCGGGUGCUAACGUCCGUCGUGAAGAGGGAAACAACCCAGACCGCCAGCUAAGGUCCCAAAGUCAUGGUUAAGUGGGAAACGAUGUGGGAAGGCAUAGACAGCCAGGAUGUUGGCUUAGAAGCAGCCAUCAUUUAAAGAAAGCGUAAUAGCUCACUGGUCGAGUCGGCCUGCGCGGAAGAUGUAACGGGGCUAAACCAUGCACCGAAGCUGCGGCAGCGACGCUUAGGCGUUGUUGGGUAGGGGAGCGUUCUGUAAGCCGUUGAAGGUGGCCUGUGAGGGCUGCUGGAGGUAUCAGAAGUGCGAAUGCUGACAUAAGUAACGAUAAUGCGGGUGAAAAACCCGCACGCCGGAAGACCAAGGGUUCCUGUCCAACGUUAAUCGGGGCAGGGUGAGUCGACCCCUAAGGCGAGGCUGAAAAGCGUAGUCGAUGGGAAACAGGUUAAUAUUCCUGUACUGGGUGUGACUGCGAAGGGGGGACGGAGAAGGCUAGGCUAGCCGGGCGACGGUUGUCCCGGUUUAAGCAUGUAGGCGGAGUGACUUGGUAAAUCCGGUUGCUUAUCAACGCUGAGGUGUGAUGACGAGCCACUACGGUGGCGAAGUAGUUGAUGCCAAGCUUCCAGGAAAAGCCUCUAAGCAUCAGGUGACAUUCAAUCGUACCCCAAACCGACACAGGUGGUCAGGUAGAGAAUACUCAGGCGCUUGAGAGAACUCGGGUGAAGGAACUAGGCAAAAUGGUGCCGUAACUUCGGGAGAAGGCACGCUGGCAUUAGGUAAAGAGACUUGCUCUCGGCGCCGAAGCCAGUCGCAGAUACCAGCUGGCUGCAACUGUUUAAUAAAAACACAGCACUGUGCAAACACGAAAGUGGACGUAUACGGUGUGACGCCUGCCCGGUGCUGGAAGGUUAAUUGAUGGGGUCAGCCGCAAGGCGAAGCUCUUGAUCGAAGCCCCAGUAAACGGCGGCCGUAACUAUAACGGUCCUAAGGUAGCGAAAUUCCUUGUCGGGUAAGUUCCGACCUGCACGAAUGGCGUAAUGAUGGCCAGGCUGUCUCCACCCGAGACUCAGUGAAAUUGAACUCGCUGUGAAGAUGCAGUGUACCCGCGGCAAGACGGAAAGACCCCGUGAACCUUUACUAUAGCUUGACACUGAAUAUUGAGCCUUGAUGUGUAGGAUAGGUGGGAGGCAUCGAAGCGUGGACGCCAGUCUGCGUGGAGCCAACCUUGAAAUACCACCCUUUAAUGUUUGAUGUUCUAACUCGGCCCCAUAAUCUGGGGUGAGGACAGUGUCUGGUGGGUAGUUUGACUGGGGCGGUCUCCUCCCAAAGAGUAACGGAGGAGCACGAAGGUUAGCUAAUCACGGUCGGACAUCGUGAGGUUAGUGCAAAGGCAUAAGCUAGCUUGACUGCGAGAGUGACGGCUCGAGCAGGUACGAAAGUAGGUCUUAGUGAUCCGGUGGUUCUGAAUGGAAGGGCCAUCGCUCAACGGAUAAAAGGUACUCCGGGGAUAACAGGCUGAUACCGCCCAAGAGUUCAUAUCGACGGCGGUGUUUGGCACCUCGAUGUCGGCUCAUCACAUCCUGGGGCUGAAGUAGGUCCCAAGGGUAUGGCUGUUCGCCAUUUAAAGUGGUACGCGAGCUGGGUUUAGAACGUCGUGAGACAGUUCGGUCCCUAUCUGCCGUGGGCGUUGGAAGAUUGAGAGGGGCUGCUCCUAGUACGAGAGGACCGGAGUGGACGCAUCACUGGUGUUCGGGUUGUCAUGCCAAUGGCAUUGCCCGGUAGCUAAAUGCGGAAAAGAUAAGCGCUGAAAGCAUCUAAGCGCGAAACUUGCCUCGAGAUGAGUCUUCCCUGGGGCUUUAAGCCCCCUGAAGGAACGUUAAAGACUAUGACGUUGAUAGGCUGGGUGUGUAAGUGCAGCGAUGCAUUGAGCUAACCAGUACUAAUGAUCCGUGAGGCUUAACCUUACAACACCGAAGGUGUUU
This 2934-nucleotide ribosomal RNA is filed under the name Yersinia ruckeri. RNAcentral describes it as "bacterial LSU rRNA". It matches the Rfam family "Bacterial large subunit ribosomal RNA". The record is from RNAcentral. Lineage: Bacteria; Pseudomonadati; Pseudomonadota; Gammaproteobacteria; Enterobacterales; Yersiniaceae.